Molecule: ribosomal RNA, 297 nt
Filed under: uncultured bacterium
Lineage: Bacteria
Description: partial 16S ribosomal RNA
Rfam family: Bacterial small subunit ribosomal RNA
Source: RNAcentral
UACGUAGGAGGCAAGCGUUGUCCGGAUUUACUGGGCGUAAAGCGCGCGCAGGCGGCACACUAAGUAAGGUGUGAAAUCUCCCUGCUCAACGGGGAGGGUGCACUUUAGACUGGUGAGCUAGAGGGCGGUAGAGGGGGGUGGAAUUGCUGGUGUAGCGGUGAAAUGCGUAGAGAUCAGCAGGAACACCCGUGGCGAAGGCGGCCCCCUGGGCCGUAAAACUUCUUCUACAUAAGAGAUUGCAUCAAUCAUGUAGAGGGAACCUGACGCUGAGGCGCGAAGGCUAGGGGAGCGAACGGG